AUGCACGCUGGCGGCGUGCCUCAUACCUGCAAGUCGCGCGAACAGACGAGGAGCUUGCUCCUCUGACGUUAGCGGCGGCCGGGUGAGUAACACGUGGAUAACCUACCUAUAAGACUGGGAUAACUUCGGGAAACCGGAGCUAAUACCGGAUAAUAUAUUGAACCGCAUGGUUCAAUAGUGAAAGACGGUUUUGCUGUCACUUAUAGAUGGAUCCGCGCCGCAUUAGCUAGUUGGUAAGGUAACGGCUUACCAAGGCGACGAUGCGUAGCCGACCUGAGAGGGUGAUCGGCCACACUGGAACUGAGACACGGUCCAGACUCCUACGGGAGGCAGCAGUAGGGAAUCUUCCGCAAUGGGCGAAAGCCUGACGGAGCAACGCCGCGUGAGUGAUGAAGGUCUUCGGAUCGUAAAACUCUGUUAUUAGGGAAGAACAAAUGUGUAAGUAACUAUGCACGUCUUGACGGUACCUAAUCAGAAAGCCACGGCUAACUACGUG
RNAcentral lists this ribosomal RNA (496 nucleotides) under uncultured bacterium. Its description in RNAcentral is "partial 16S ribosomal RNA". It matches the Rfam family "Bacterial small subunit ribosomal RNA", at positions 29 to 507 of the family's 1533-position model. The record is from RNAcentral.